Molecule: non-coding RNA, 24 nt
Filed under: Mus musculus (house mouse)
Lineage: Eukaryota; Metazoa; Chordata; Mammalia; Rodentia; Muridae
Source: RNAcentral
UAGAUGCCUUCUUCUUUGACAGCA